GAUGAACGCUGGCGGCGUGCCUAAUACAUGCAAGUCGAGCGAACGGACGAGAAGCUUGCUUCUCUGAUGUUAGCGGCGGACGGGUGAGUAACACGUGGAUAACCUACCUAUAAGACUGGGAUAACUUCGGGAAACCGUAGCUAAUACCGGAUAAUAUUUUGAACCGCAUGGUUCAAAAGUGAAAGACGGUCUUGCUGUCACUUAUAGAUGGUUCCGCGCUGCAUUAGCGAGUUGGUAAGGUAACGGCUUACCAAGGCAACGAUGCAUGUCCGACCUGAGAGGGUGAUCGGCCACAUGGGAACUGAGACACGGUCCAUACUCCUACGGUAGGCAGCAGUAGGGAACCUUCCGCAAUGGGCGAAAGCCUGACGGAGCAACGCCGCGCGAGUGAUGAAGGUCUUCGGUUCGUAAAACUCUGUUAUUAGGUAAGAACAUAUGUGUAAGUAACUGUGCACAUCUUGACGGUACCUAAUCAGAAAGCCACGGCUAACUACGUG
Molecule: ribosomal RNA, 497 nt
Filed under: uncultured bacterium
Lineage: Bacteria
Description: partial 16S ribosomal RNA
Rfam family: Bacterial small subunit ribosomal RNA
Source: RNAcentral